AUUGAACGCUGGCGGCAUGCCUUACACAUGCAAGUCGAACGGUAACAGGUCCUCGGAUGCUGACGAGUGGCGAACGGGUGAGUAAUACAUCGGAACGUGCCUAGUAGUGGGGGAUAACUACUCGAAAGAGUGGCUAAUACCGCAUGAGAUCUACGGAUGAAAGCAGGGGAUCGCAAGACCUUGUGCUACUAGAGCGGCCGAUGGCAGAUUAGGUAGUUGGUGGGAUAAAAGCUUACCAAGCCGACGAUCUGUAGCUGGUCUGAGAGGACGAUCAGCCACACUGGGACUGAGACACGGCCCAGACUCCUACGGGAGGCAGCAGUGGGGAAUUUUGGACAGUGGGCGCAAGCCUGAUCCAGCAAUGCCGCGUGCAGGAUGAAGGCCUUCGGGUUGUAAACUGCUUUUGUACGGAACGAAAAGCCCUGGGUUAAUACCCUGGGGUCAUGACGGUACCGUAAGAAUAAGCACCGGCUAACUACGUGCCAGCCGCCGCGGUAA
This 498-nucleotide ribosomal RNA is filed under the name uncultured bacterium. Its description in RNAcentral is "partial 16S ribosomal RNA". It matches the Rfam family "Bacterial small subunit ribosomal RNA", at positions 30 to 523 of the family's 1533-position model. The record is from RNAcentral.